GCCUGAGGUGCUCCUGCAUUACGAUAAUCAAAAUAGUCAUAUAGAUGAACAAAAACCACACCAACAACCCUUCUAUAGUUGGAAUUAGUAAUAAACAAGACAGGUAUAGAAAGUUUAGUAAUUACACUAACAUGAAGAAAUUUGGAAUAUUACAGAAAGUUUCUUCAGUAGCAGCACUGCUUCACUUAAGAACUAUGUUUUGGGAGGUUGGGCAGUAUUAAAAUAAAUACCUGGAAAACUUAAAGCAAGACCA
RNAcentral lists this unclassified non-coding RNA (253 nucleotides) under Hevea brasiliensis (rubber tree). The record is from RNAcentral. Lineage: Eukaryota; Viridiplantae; Streptophyta; Magnoliopsida; Malpighiales; Euphorbiaceae.